This 240-nucleotide unclassified non-coding RNA is filed under the name soil metagenome. RNAcentral describes it as "partial contains 5.8S ribosomal RNA, internal transcribed spacer 2, and large subunit ribosomal RNA". The record is from RNAcentral.
AAGACUAUAGACCUGCGGAGUACCUGCGGAGGGAUCAUUAAAAGACGUCGAAAGACUCUUUUUUCAACCCAUUGUGAACUUUACCAUUCAGUUGCCUCGGUGGGCGACCCCAGGGGCGGGUCUUCACCAAGUUUUGGUGCCCACCGCAGGACCUAAUACUCUAUAUUACACAGUACUAUCUGAGCUUAUAGCGCAAAACUAUCAAAACUUUCAACAACGGAUCUCUAGAUCGGAAGAGCA